GGUGCGUAGGUGGCAUGAUAAGUUUGAUGUGAAAUCUCCGGGCUCAACCCGGAAAAUGCAUUGAAUACUAUCAGGCUGGAGGUUUGGAGGGGGGACUGGAAUUCUCGGUGUAGCAGUGAAAUGCGUAGAUAUCGAGAGGAACACCAGUGGCGAAGGCGAGUCCCUGGAUAACACCUGACACUGAGGCACGAAAGCUAGGGGAGCAAACAGGAUUAGAUACCCUGGUAGUCCUAGCCCUAAACGGUGCGCAUUUGCUGUAGGAGGAAUCGACCCCUUCUGUGGCGAAGCUAACGCGAUAAAUGCGCCGCCUGGGGAGUACGGUCGCAAGAUUAAAACUCAAAGAAAUUGACGGGGGCCUGCACAAGCGGUGGAGUAUGUGGCUA
Molecule: ribosomal RNA, 383 nt
Filed under: uncultured bacterium
Lineage: Bacteria
Description: bacterial SSU rRNA
Rfam family: Bacterial small subunit ribosomal RNA
Source: RNAcentral